AAUUAGUUUAUUUUUUCUGUACAACUACAUGCAACUGAUGUCUUUUCGAGCUAUUCUGAAAUUAGUAAUUUUAAGUUUAACUUAUAAGCAGGGGAUCGAGAAACGAAAGAAAUUACUUUCAGCAAAAUGUAAUUUAAAGUAUGAAUUGUGACAAUAUUCGUGAAACGGCCUCUGUCUGUAACUGAGGCCUUGAUGUGCACCAUCAGUGCUAAAGGAAAGCUGUGCAUUGCACAAAAGGGGGAAGUGUAACGGAAAAAAAAUCAUAAAAAACCAGUCUGAUAAAACUAGCACUUAUUGCCCAACAUUUCCAUCCUUGUAUGUCAUCACCAGUUUAUAAAUCAAGCUAUUCAUUAAAGAGGUAAGCAAGACUUUCUACUUCAUGUAUCAAAUGUAUAGACACACCUAAAAAGUGUGAUUUCUUAUUGUAAUUUCCUCAAGGACAUCACAUCAUAUGUCUGAAUAAAGCAACUGUUUGCUUAAGAAAUUAUGACCCUUGCUAUCUGAAACUAUAUGAUUGUAACAGCCACACUUGCAAGUGUAAUAAUAAAACUCAGAAAGACAUUUUCUUGUUUAUGAACCUUGUUUCUACACAAUUUCCAUCACGGUAGCAGUCUCUAGAUGUCACUGUUGUAGUAUGUAUGAGUCACUACAGUGUACUGUCUUUCUUUUUUUACCACACACACUGUCUGCUACUCCAUCACAGAUCAGAAAUGAUUUAAUAAGGACUAAUGGCAUUGAAGCACCUGAAGUCAGCUUAUUGACACCAGCUUGGAUUCUCUUCUUCUCCAUUCAAAGACCAAAUGGCUGUUGGUGUUUUUAUGUGUCCUCUUACACAUGCAUAGGUCUUCUUUCAGCAGGAAUCACAGAGCGAGAUCACAUUAAUUGACACCAACCAUCUGUACUUCUACUGUGUAAGUGAAGGGAAAACUGGUUCCUUUUGCGUCAAACUGCCACCUCUUAUAAAUCAAUAGAUUGAUAAGGCUGUGUACAAGAAGGACUGCAUCAAUCUUUGAACGUGGAACAGGUGCUUAGACCUCAAAUGUGUUCAUUGAACCACCCUGGACAGAACCUGCGUGCUGGGUUACAACAGGAAACUGAAUCUACUUAUCUGAAACUACUUGUCUUGCAGAUCUUACUGUGCACCACAGAUGGCUGCAAGGUGCUCAAAUGCCAAGUGUGGUUGGAAACACUUAUUUGCAGUUAUGAAGCAGUGAAGAUUCUCUGGUUGUUCAUACAAGACUGACAGAUUGCAGUCAGUUGAAAUGUGCUUCCUUUUUCAUCUCUGGGCAUUCCAACAGUCUCAAAUGCUUUCUAUUCAGCAGCGGCCUCCCUGCUCUUAACCUGGCUGUCAGUCUGUAUGGUUUAUGCCAUGGAGGAUCAGGAUUUUGGCAUGUCUAGACUGCCAACUGAGAAGUGCGUCAUGACUGAGCGCCUGGCUGAGCUCAGAGAGAAACCAGCAUGGAAAACCUUCUUCUACCAGAGGACAUUAUUUGGUGAAAUACUGAAGCCAGUUCCUCCACUGGUCAUCAUUUAUUAAUUUAUGUAAAUCGAAUCGUCAUUAAUAAAUCACAUACAGCUGUCUUCUGUUCAUGCUGUAACACCAUUCUCUUCAUUAAUUAUCCAGCGUACACACCACUCACAGGAGCGCUUGUAAGAACAUCUGCUUUUGGAUAGAUUUGUCUUUGCUGCUGUCCAUAGGGAUGGAAAUCGAGAACCAGUUCCAAUUGAGUACUGGUUCCAGAUUGUCUGAACCAUAUGAAUCUUAUGCCUUUGAGCUUAUCUAUUCCUUUUAUCAAUGCUGGCAUGCUUUUUCUGAUAUGCAUGCUUUUUUUAGAGAUAAUAAAACAAGUUAUGUUGUUGCUGAAAACCUGUGUCGGCAUAAUUUUUCCAAACAGAAAAUCUGAAAUUAUUAAAAGAAUCAAUAUACAAUUGGACCAAUAAGCAGAAUUCAUAUUAAUAAAAUAUCAAUUCCCAUCCCUAGCAGGCAAUGCGUGUCUCCCCCUUGAAGUCUUCUGUUCAUGCCUCUAGGAUACGCCAGCCUCACCAGUGCUCUUCUGGCUCAGUGGAAGCAAAUCCAUGUUCCCAGA
Long non-coding RNA from Seriola aureovittata, 2087 nucleotides. RefSeq lists it as uncharacterized. Lineage: Eukaryota; Metazoa; Chordata; Actinopteri; Carangiformes; Carangidae. The transcript has 3 exons. The record is from RefSeq and is a predicted model, not a curated record.